This is a long non-coding RNA of Brassica napus (rape), 2806 nucleotides long. RefSeq lists it as uncharacterized. The transcript has 2 exons. Lineage: Eukaryota; Viridiplantae; Streptophyta; Magnoliopsida; Brassicales; Brassicaceae. The record is from RefSeq and is a predicted model, not a curated record.
UUGAAUAUAUGUAUAUUUUUGAAUGAAUUUUUGAUAUAAAUCAAUUUUAAAUUAUUAUUUUGAUUUGAAUAUAUAUAUCAAGUAACAUAGACUCAUUAUUUUUUUAAUACAAUGUAAUUGACUUUUAAUUUUUUUAGUAGCAUAAACCCAUUUUUUUUUCUAACUUACUGCUAUCCAUGUUUCCAAACAAUACUAUUUUUAACUACUAUUCAUAUUGCCAAACAAUCCUAAUGUGUACUUCAAUCCUAAUGUUUCCAAACAAUUCUCAUAUAACAUUGUCAUCCAUGUUUCCAAACAAACCAUAUUUUUAAACUGCAAUUCAUGUUUCCAAACAAACCUAAUUUGUACUUCAGUUUCCAAACAAACCUAGAGCUUGACCCGCGCGCCCGCGCAUGUAUUAGUUUUUACGUAUUUAUACAUUGAUAUUUGUUUUUCGUGAUUAGUGCAAUAUAUUUUAGAUAUGUCUCCAUAUAACUAAUUGUAUUCAAAAGAUCUAGAUCGAAUCGGAUAAUAUAAUGAUUUUUGGUUCAAAUAUCAGAAUCAUUUUCAAAUACGUUCGUUAUUUGAAUAUUUUUACUUUUCUGUACAUCAGAACCAAAUUCAUACAGACCCGGAAGAUCCAACUUGAAACUCACACAUAAAUUUAAAUCCAAACAUGGCCUAAUUUCAAAACCAAAAAAAUCUAUACCCGAAAAAACGAUGUAUACCUAAAUGGGUACCCGAAUGUCUAUGCCUAACAGAUUCCGUAAACAAAUAAAUAUAUGUAUAGAUAUAUAUUUAUGUGUUUGGCUAAAUUAAGUGAAAUAGAAAAAAAUUUAUUUAGUAAUAUUUUUACAAUAUUAAUAAUAAUCAAUAUAUGAAUAUCGAUUUGUUUAGAUAAGUUUUGGAAUUGUAAUUAGUUAAUUUAAAUUAAAUUUAAAUGCAGUGGUAGAAUUCGUAUAUAAAAAGAAAUACAAAAAGGAAGUACCUAAAAAGAUAUUUCAAAACCCAAAAAAUCUUUACCCGAAAGAAACAACCCGUACUUAAAUGGAUACCCAAAUAUCUAUGCCUAACUGAUUCCGUAAACAAAUAAAAAAGUUAUUUUAAUGUGUUUGGCUAAAUUAAAUGAAAUAGAAAUUUUUUAUUUAGUAAUAUUUGUACAAUAUUAAUAAUGAUCAAUAUAUGAAUAUCAAUUUGUUUAGAUAAGUUUUGGAAUUGUAAUUAAUUAAUUUAAAUUGAUUUUAAAUGUAGUGGUAGAAUCUGUAAAUAAAAAGAAAUACAAAAAGAAAUACCUAAUUUAUUAUGAAUGCAAUGACUAAAUGUGUAAAUAAAAGAAAAUACAUAUACUGCUAUUCAAGUUUCCAAACAAUUCUCAUAUAAUAUUGUCAUCCAUGUUUCCAAACAAACCAUCUUUUUAAACUGCAAUUCAUGUUUCCAAACAAACCUAAUUUGUACUUCAGUUUUAAUAAUAUAGAUAUAUGAAACUCCCUGAGGGAUUGAAAAUACGAGGGGAAUUGAAAGAAAAAUCCAGGGAGAUUUGUUCGGUCAAGUUACAGCGAUCACUAUAAGGAUUAAAGCAAUCCGGACGCAUGUGGUACAAUCGCUUAAGUGAAUAUAUCUUGAAAAAGGGAUAUGUUAAUAAUGCGAUAUGUCCAUGCGUUUUUAUAAAGAAAUCGUCAUCUCGCUUUGUGAUCAUUGUUGCAUAUGUAGAUGACCUGAACAUAAUUGGAACUCAAAAGGAGGUUGAUGUUGCUCGGACUCAUAUAAAAGAAGAGUUUGAAAUAAAAGAUAUCGGCAAGACAAAGUUUUGUCUUGGGUUCCAGAUAGAGCAUCUCCGAGAAAAAAUAAUUGUGCAUCAAUCAAAUCAUACGAAAAAGUUAUUGAAACGCUUUUGUAUGAAUAAAACGACUCCUUUGAGUACUCCAAUGGUAAAUAGAUCUCUCGAUGUUAAAAGAGAUGUUAUUUUAAAAGAUCCAGGUAAGAUUUUAUAUAAAUAAGUACUUUAGAGAUGCUAAUGGUAAUAAAUAAUUUGUGAGCUUAUAUGUCUUGCAAGUUGUAUUUGAUAAAAUAUAGUUUUAGACACUAAUGUUUUUGCAAGAUACAGCUUAUUUCCUAUUUAUGGAAAUUAGAAUGGCAUCGAGAACAUGUCAGUUCUCUCCAAGUUGGUGGAACCGCGAUCUCUUGGCGGUCCCAGAAACAAACUCUGGUUGCGACAUCUUCGAAUCAUGCAGAGACUAUUGCGCUUCAUGAAGAAUGUCGAGAAUGUGUUAGGCUUCGGUCAAUGAGUCACCACAUACAAGAAUUAAGCUGAAUAGUCAACGACGAAAAUAUUUGAAGACAAUUCGGCUUGUAUUGCUCCACUCAAGGAAGACUACAUUAAGAGUGACAGAACAAAGCAUAUUCCUACAAGAUUUUUCUCGUACAUAAGGAAGCUCGAGAAAAAUAAAGAGCAUUUGCGUGACCUGUGACGAGAAAGCUAGUUCUACUAUUUUCAGGGGGAGAUUACGGUAGUGUACUCUUUUUCCCUUGUCAUGGUUUUUGUCCCAAUGGGUUUCUUCGUGACUAGGUUUUUAACGAGAUAUUACGUAAUACAAGAUGAAAAAUCAAGGGGGAGUGUUGCAAAAGAUGAUUAUUCAUCAUGGUAACAGAUGUCCCACUCUCAUCAAAUGUGUGUGAUUAUCACUAUACACAUGUCCCCACCACAUUUUUCGUUGGUAAAUAUCUGAGUCCAUGACCGACUUUAGUGGGUUAUAAAUACCCUCUCCCUCUCAUUGUUGUAAGAUUGUAAGAUAAGAAACAAGAUAAAUAAGAACAUUAUUUUUGUCUA